GAUGAAGAACGUAGCGAAACGCGAUAGUUAAUGUGAAUUGCAGAAUUCAGUGAAUCAUCGAGUCUUUGAACGCACAUUGCGCCCCCUGGUAUUCCGGGGGGCAUGCCUGUCCGAGCGUCAUUGCUGCCCAUCAAGCGCGGCUUGUGUGUUGGGCCGCCGUCCGCCUUCCCCCCCGGGGGGAGGGGGACGGGCCCGAAAGGCAGCGGCGGCACCGCGUCCGGUCCUCGAGCGUAUGGGGCUCUGUCACCCGCUCUGGAGGCCCGGCCGGCGCCCGCCGACCCCCAACCUUCUUCUAACCAGGUUGACCUCGGAUCAGGUAGGGAUACCCGCUGAACUUAAGCAUAUCAAUAAGCGGAGGAA
Molecule: unclassified non-coding RNA, 360 nt
Filed under: soil metagenome
Description: partial contains 5.8S ribosomal RNA, internal transcribed spacer 2, and large subunit ribosomal RNA
Rfam family: 5.8S ribosomal RNA (bases 1-120)
Source: RNAcentral